This 492-nucleotide ribosomal RNA is filed under the name uncultured bacterium. RNAcentral describes it as "partial 16S ribosomal RNA". It matches the Rfam family "Bacterial small subunit ribosomal RNA", at positions 29 to 507 of the family's 1533-position model. The record is from RNAcentral.
AGUGAACGCUGGCGGUAGGCCUAACACAUGCAAGUCGAACGGCAGCACAGUAAGAGCUUGCUCUUACGGGUGGCGAGUGGCGGACGGGUGAGGAAUACAUCGGAAUCUACUUUUUCGUGGGGGAUAACGUAGGGAACCUUACGCUAAUACCGCAUACGACCUACGGGUGAAAGCCGGGGAUCUUCGGACCUUGCGCGAUUGAAUGAGCCGAUGUCGGAUUAGCUAGUUGGCGGGGUAAAGGCCCACCAAGGCGACGAUCCGUAGCUGGUCUGGGAGGAUGAUCAGCCACACGGGAACUGAGACACGGUCCAGACUCCUACGGGAGGCAGCAGUGGGGAAUAUUGGACAAUGGGCGCAAGCCUGAUCCAGCCAUACCGCGUGGGUGAAGAAGGCCUUCGGGUUGUAAAGCCCUUUUGUUGGGAAAGAAAAGCAGCAGGUUAAUACCCCGCUGUUCUGACGGUACCCAAAGAAUAAGCACCGGCUAACUUCGUG